UUGAAAUAAACCUGAUGGGUUGUUGCUGGUUCUCUAGGGAGCAUGUGCACACCUUGUCAUCUUUAUAUCUCCACCUGUGCACCUUUUGUAGACCUUUCAGGUCUAUGUUGCUUCAUUUACCCCAACUGUAUGUCAUUAGAAUGUUGUGCCUAUAUAACAUAUA
This 163-nucleotide unclassified non-coding RNA is filed under the name uncultured Cortinarius. RNAcentral describes it as "sequence contains ITS1". The record is from RNAcentral. Lineage: Eukaryota; Fungi; Basidiomycota; Agaricomycetes; Agaricales; Cortinariaceae.